GAAAUGCGAUAAGUAAUGUGAAUUGCAGAAUUCAGUGAAUCAUCGAAUCUUUGAACGCACAUUGCGCCCGCCAGUAUUCUGGCGGGCAUGCCUGUUCGAGCGUCAUUUCAACCCUCAAGCCCCGGGCUUGGUGUUGGGGAUCGGCGAAGCCUUCCGGCACGCGCCGUCCCCUAAAUCUAGUGGCGGUCUCGCUGCAGCCUCCAUUGCGUAGUAGCUAACACCUCGCAACUGGAACGCGGCGCGGCCAAGCCGUUAAACCCCCAACUUUUUCUGAAUGUUGACCUCGGAUCAGGUAGGAAUACCCGCUGAACUUAAGC
Molecule: unclassified non-coding RNA, 317 nt
Filed under: plant metagenome
Description: partial contains 5.8S ribosomal RNA, internal transcribed spacer 2, and large subunit ribosomal RNA
Rfam family: 5.8S ribosomal RNA (bases 1-105)
Source: RNAcentral